This is a non-coding RNA of Ostrea edulis (European flat oyster), 74 nucleotides long. Lineage: Eukaryota; Metazoa; Mollusca; Bivalvia; Ostreida; Ostreidae. The record is from the annotation of a RefSeq genome assembly.
GUCGCGGUAGCUCAGUGGUAGAGCGUUCGCCUCGCAACCGUGAGAGGUCGUGGGUUCGAGCCCCGCUCGUGUCA